AUCGAGGUUCGACUAAGCCAUGCGAGUCGAAUGUAGCAAUACAUGGCGUACUGCUCAGUAACACGUGGACAACCUACCCUUGAGACGGGGAUAAACCCGGGAAACUGGGUAUAAUACCCGAUAGAUCUCGACUGCUGGAAUGCAUCGAGCUCCAAAGCUCCGGCGCUCAAGGAUGGGUCUGCGGCCUAUCAGGUAGUAGUGGGUGUAGCGUACCUACUAGCCUACGACGGGUACGGGUUGUGAGAGCAAGAGCCCGGAGAUGGAUUCUGAGACACGAAUCCAGGCCCUACGGGGUGCAGCAGGCGCGAAAACUUUACAAUGCUGGAAACAGCGAUAAGGGGACCUCGAGUGCCAGGUUACAAAUCUGGCUGUCGUGAUGCCUAAAAAGCAUUGCAUAGCAAGGGCCGGGCAAGACCGGUGCCAGCCGCCGCGGUAACACCGGCGGCUCGAGUGGUAACCGUUAUUAUUGGGUCUAAAGGGUCUGUAGCCGGCCGGAUAAGUCUCUUGGGAAAUCUGGCAGCUUAACUGUCAGGCUUUCAGGAGAUACUGUCUGGCUCGAGGCCGGGAGAGGUGAGAGGUACUUCAGGGGUAGGGGUGAAAUCUUGUAAUCCUUGAAGGACCACCAGUGGCGAAGGCGUCUCACCAGAACGGACCUGACGGCAAGGGACGAAAGCUAGGGGCACGAACCGGAUUAGAUACCCGGGUAGUCCUAGCCGUAAACGAUACUCGCUAGGUGUCGGCCACGGUGCGACCGUUGUCGGUGCCGUAGGGAAGCCGUGAAGCGAGCCACCUGGGAAGUACGGCCGCAAGGCUGAAACUUAAAGGAAUUGGCGGGGGAGCACCACAACGGGUGGAGCUUGCGGUUUAAUUGGAUCAACGCCGG
This 883-nucleotide ribosomal RNA is filed under the name uncultured archaeon. RNAcentral's name for it is "bacterial SSU rRNA". It matches the Rfam family "Archaeal small subunit ribosomal RNA", at positions 32 to 921 of the family's 1478-position model. The record is from RNAcentral.